GUCGAUUCCGGAGCUCAACUGUGAGCUAUCGAACGUGAUCGAGGUAUGACUAACAGUUAUAAUAAAAUCAACGAAGGCUCUUUAUGGCCAAUGAUAAGCAAUAAAUGAUGAACAAUAAUGAAGAUAAUAAAUGGAAUCAAUAAUAUAAAGAGAAUGUGUUAGAGAGCAGAGCAAAUCUUCUUAUAUAUUUUGUGUGGAGCGACUGAAGCAAUAGAGGUCUACAAAAUGACAAGGAUCCCCUUUACAUAGAAGGGGAAUUCCAACAUAGUACAAAAUAUAUUAAUGACAAAGAAGCGGAGAUGGGACAGCUAGAUGAUACCCUAAUUUAGGGUUAGGGUAGUCCACUAGGCUCUGUCAGUCCUAGCCGUGUACCUUAGGAACUCCUCAUUUCUACUAUAGCCGUGGUCAACAUUGUCCCAAGGUCGGGCGUCGACGAACCUCGAGGGAGGAAACUCGACCAUAGCCUUGUAGCCUCGAGGCUUCGAGAUGAUCUUCUGAGGUAUCUCGACCAUAGAAUAUUUGAUGCCUUAGGCCCGCAAUUCUAACUUUAAUAAGACCACCCCAAAUUAUCAUUAUGGAGAAAAAUAAAUAAGACAAAUAACCCCUAAUUGAAAAAUCAGUGUAAUUCGGAUGACACUUUAGUAAUAAAAAUGACGACCAAUCUACGUCCAUAUUCUUUUGGAAUGAUGUAGAAAUUCUUCAAAUAGUUAUGACAUCAACAACUAUGGGAAAAGGAAAUAUAUAAAAGUAAGAAGCAUCCAAGGUAAGCCCAACUCCAACAAAAAAGUAACAAAAACUCAAGAAGGAAAACUCAAACAAUAGAAAGGAAGGACAAAGAUGAGUAGUACCGUGAGAAGGUUGACCAUUUUCAGCAAUAUUAUGUAUCCUUGAUGUUUGUGAUACUCGUUUACCUUAGCUAUUUAAGGCUGUCUCUCAUAAGCUAUUAUGGUCUCGUAUGAGUCAUUGACCUAUACUUUAUUCAAUAACUUCUUUCACUUCUUUGAGAAAAAAUGAAGUUCAUUGACCAAGUGAACAAUAAUAUUGAUCACGUGCGUAGCAAAUUGCGAAACUGUGUAACCGUGAAGAUGCCUUUUUUAAUCACCAGCAAAUGCAAAUUCCCUAAGAAUAAAAAUUAAAAUUCAUGAAUAAAUCAAUAUUUUUUCUUUUGGACAACCAUAGCAACGGGGAAGUUUAUGCCUAACAUCUUUGAAUGAAUGAAGAAACAUGAACAAAAGCCACAAUAUUUCUCAUGUUCUAAAUAUUUCCAAAUUUAUAAAAUAAAAUAAAAAAUAAAUCUUACGAUUAUCUUGGCAAAAUCAUAAUAACUACUCCAUACCCUCACAAAAUCCACCAAUUUCUUCUUUUCCGUGUUGUUAAAGUUUCUCCAAUCAUCUACAUGUAGAGGUGUUAGUUCUGGAGUUCUUGCAAUAAUUCCUAGAAAGCUAGCAAGUUUUCGACUCUCUUUCCCAAUAGCAUGGUUACGAUUAUUAAACGGCACAUCAACUGUCUUCCCCGGCGGAAGUUUCCAAAUAUCUUAUAAUAAAGUAGGCCCAUGAACCUUUUUGGCUUCUGAAUUAUCUAGAAUUAAAAGAUCUGAAUCAUCUGAUGACUUCAAGAAUUCUAAUUCGUGUACAAAAACAAAGCCUUGCGACAAAGACAGUUCAAGAGAUAAAAGGUAUUGAUUCACCAACAAAAACAAUUGUCCAAUGAUUAUAAAACCUUAGGAUAUUGCAAUACAAGGGCUACAAGCAGCAAAAUAUAAGUAAAAGAAAGAACAAAGAAUUCACUCAAAUCAACUAAUAAUCAACCAAUACAAAUAUGGAAAAUUCAUAGCUAACUAACUCAUCUUCUAUAGAAUGACUCAAAUUGAAAGCAGAAAUUAUAUUUAUUCAAAUUUUUGCAUUAUAAAGAUUCGUAGAAGUUCUUAAAUAACACUUGCAAAAUAAUAUUUUAUAAUUACCACCUAUCUUAUUCAGAAUCUCUUUCAUUUCCAAUGUUAUUUCUUCUCUCAAUAUUAGCUUCGCCAUCAUUUGGAGAAUCUUGAGAAUGUAUGAACCGACAGAGAAAACGAACUGAUUUUAGUAACAAGAAUCUAACAACUAAAAUUAUAGGGGAAAACAACGGCUUAGUGUUUGGGAAGUAUCUUGAACCAGCAAGAAGAAAGCGAGCAUGGACUCUUAAAAGGUUCAUUGAGACAGGUAAGCAUGGUAGAUGUCUUUGCAUUAGAAGAAUUUAUAAAAAUAAAAUAUAUAUUCUCUUGCUACACAUGUAAUUCAGUUAAAUAAGAGUUUUCCUUAAGAUUAUCCCUUCUAAUUCAUAAAGUGAGACACUUCAGACUGCUAACUUAGAUUCGGCACUUUGGACAUGAAAUAAAAUUCUAGUUUUAAUUCAAAAAUAACGACAGAACCUAUGAACAUGAUACGUGAGACAUAAGAAAACACAAAUUAAAUUAACACUUGCAUUACUGACUAUCGGUAGGUGAACUUAACAGAAACUAACUUAUCAUUCCAGCUGGGAGGGUUUAAUAUUUAAAUAAAUAGAUUUAAAAUUGAUCAUUUCUUUUAUUAAUAAGUAGCAAAUCUUAGAAGACAUUCACCUAGCAUAUCAAUCAAUAAUUAAUACUUUCAUGAUUUAAAGUGCAAAAGACGAAACUAGAACUAACAGUAUCUUUAUAACAGAAUUCAAGUCACAAAUAUAUCUGGAAAAAAUUAACAUAAUCAAAUCAAUAGAGCAUUAACACGAAGAGAUCUCGAAAACUAACAAACUGCAUAGUUCAUAUCCACUUAAAUCCACAAUUCACAUAGAAUUACUUUACACUUAAAUUAACAGAAUUUUCUUUAAGUAUAGUCUGCUAUAUAAAUAGCUUAAAACAAUCGAAAGUAAAUAUAUAGCAUUAGGAAAAACAAAAUAAUCAAUUCAACCAGUUGUCCGCCAAUUUAACAACAUCCAAAAGAUCACAAAUUACAACAUAGCUGACACAAAUAAAUUAUCUCACAAAUUGCCAUAGUUAGACAUCACAAAUUGGCUUAGGCUCAAGUGUUUGGGUACCUGGUAAGCAGAAUACUUUGAUGAUUAAGAUAAAAAGUGAAGGAGAAGAACGAUGUCAGUAACAAUCUCGAAACCUACAUGAAAAGAGCAGAUUGAGAGUUAAACAACAGCGAUGCCUCAAUAACUUUUUAAAGCAACAGUAAAGAAAAUUACACAUUUGACCAUUGCUCUAUAAAACAUACCUUUAUGACUCAAGACUAUGUCUAAUUACAUACAAAUUAACUCUGCUCUAAUAAGUGCCUUAGUUAUCUUAAACUGCUCAAAUAUAAUGUGAUAAAUAAUGAACUUAUUUGCUAGUAGGUUCAUGGAGUCUAACAUAAGACUAUGUCUAAUUACAUUCAAAUUAACUCUAGUCAAAUCAGUAUUUUAGUUAUCUUAACUUGUUCAAAUAUAAUGUGAUAAAUAAUAGAACUUAUUUUCUAGUGGGUUUAUGGAAUCUAACAUAAUUCAAAUGCUUUUCAGUAGAGAAACAUAGAAUUUCUUUUAGAACUAGUGCCUUGUUUUAAGUUUGUUUGAAAGGACUCAAGCUUUAAGCUGUGAAGAAGCCUGAGAGAUCUAAGCGUAAUCAAUCAAGCAUUUCUUUUCAGCAUUUCUUUCUGUUGCUUAACUUUGACCGUUUAUUAGCACCCCCAAACAGCCAUUCUUAGUCAUUUUCAAGCAUAUAUUACGCUAAAAUAUUCUCUAUGCCACAUUACCUAUCUUAAAACACUUUGAGCUCUAGAAACUGCUUCCCACUGUCCUACAUCAAAAAAAUCUUUAUGGUAUUAUGCCAUGCCUAAAGGCCUUCUCACAACGGAAACGUUCUAAAGCCCAUUACCCAUAAAUUAGAAAAGAUACUAAGAAAAUUCUCAUUCAAGAAUUAAAUCUUCGGCUAUCAAAACCAUACACCCAGCAAUUAAAAAUUUGCAUCAACCCAUAGACCUACCCAAUUGAAAACCUAAAGAUAAAUAGAGAUACUUACCAAGAAUUUUGAUGGUGGCCGGCAAUUGGGUUGCCCGAUGGAGAUUUAGAGAGCAAACUGUCAGUGGCCGUAUGAGUUGUUU
RNAcentral lists this long non-coding RNA (4091 nucleotides) under Nicotiana tabacum (common tobacco). RNAcentral's name for it is "long non-coding RNA (NTAB_LNC002789)". Lineage: Eukaryota; Viridiplantae; Streptophyta; Magnoliopsida; Solanales; Solanaceae. The record is from RNAcentral.